Molecule: long non-coding RNA, 267 nt
Filed under: Lathyrus oleraceus (garden pea)
Lineage: Eukaryota; Viridiplantae; Streptophyta; Magnoliopsida; Fabales; Fabaceae
Description: Pisum sativum (pea) long non-coding RNA (PSAT_LNC023291)
Source: RNAcentral
AAAUAACCAACAUGCAAACUCACAUAGUGGAAUAACAUCUCUCUUCAUAAAUGGUAAACAGUGAUAAUUCCGAUAAAUCAUCUACCACAAAAUAUCAUUUUGGGCUCUAAGGCCACUCAACAUCAAAACCAACAUAUCCAAAUAACAAGAUAAAAGAGAGCACAAUAAUAUCUCUCAACAUCAAAACAAAUACAAAUAAUCCCAUAAACCCAAGUGUUACAUGACCAGAGCACUAUAGGCUACCUAGUCAAAACACAACAAGAACUA